AAGCGUGCGCAGGCGGUUUUGUAAGUCUGUCGUGAAAUCCCCGGGCUCAACCUGGGAAUGGCGAUGGAGACUGCAAGGCUAGAGUUUGGCAGGAGGGGGUAGAAUUCCACGUGUAGCAGUGAAAUGCGUAGAGAUGUGGAGGAACACCGAUGGCGAAGGCAGCCCCCUGGGUCAAAACUGACGCUCAUGCACGAAAGCGUGGGGAGGCAAACAGGAUUAGAUACCCUAGU
RNAcentral lists this ribosomal RNA (230 nucleotides) under uncultured bacterium. RNAcentral's name for it is "partial 16S ribosomal RNA". It matches the Rfam family "Bacterial small subunit ribosomal RNA", at positions 563 to 791 of the family's 1533-position model. The record is from RNAcentral.